RNAcentral lists this non-coding RNA (21 nucleotides) under Arabidopsis thaliana (thale cress). Lineage: Eukaryota; Viridiplantae; Streptophyta; Magnoliopsida; Brassicales; Brassicaceae. The record is from RNAcentral.
CCACGAUCCACUGAGAUUCAG